This 320-nucleotide unclassified non-coding RNA is filed under the name plant metagenome. RNAcentral describes it as "partial contains 5.8S ribosomal RNA, internal transcribed spacer 2, and large subunit ribosomal RNA". The stretch from base 1 to 105 matches the Rfam family "5.8S ribosomal RNA", at positions 50 to 154 of the family's 154-position model. The record is from RNAcentral.
GAAAUGCGAUAAUUAAUGUGAAUUGCAGAAUUCAGUGAAUCAUCGAGUCUUUGAACGCACAUUGCACCCCCUGGUAUUCCGGGGGGUAUGCCUGUCCGAGCGUCAUUGCUGCCCUCAAGCCCGGCUUGUGUGUUGGGUCCUCGUCCCCCCCCGGGGGACGGGCCCGAAAGGCAGCGGCGGCACCGCGUCCGGUCCUCGAGCGUAUGGGGCUUUGCCACACCGCUCUCGUAGGCCCGGCCGGCGCUGGCCGACGCUGAAAAGCAACCAUUAUUUCUCCAGGUUGACCUCGGAUCAGGUAGGGAUACCCGCUGAACUUAAGC